This 253-nucleotide ribosomal RNA is filed under the name uncultured bacterium. Its description in RNAcentral is "partial 16S ribosomal RNA". It matches the Rfam family "Bacterial small subunit ribosomal RNA", at positions 524 to 776 of the family's 1533-position model. The record is from RNAcentral.
UACGGAGGGUGCAAGCGUUAUCCGGAUUCACUGGGUUUAAAGGGUGCGUAGGCGGGCAGGUAAGUCAGUGGUGAAAUCCUAGAGCUUAACUCUAGAACUGCCAUUGAUACUAUCUGUCUUGAAUAUUGUGGAGGUAAGCGGAAUAUGUCAUGUAGCGGUGAAAUGCUUAGAUAUGACACAGAACACCGAUUGCGAAGGCAGCUAGCUAAAGUACAAUUGACGCUGAUGCACGAAAGCGUGGGGAGCAAACAGG